RNAcentral lists this transfer-messenger RNA (418 nucleotides) under Candidatus Woesebacteria bacterium. It matches the Rfam family "transfer-messenger RNA". Rfam says of the family: Bacterial tmRNA, also known as 10Sa RNA or SsrA, is named for its dual tRNA and mRNA-like properties. The record is from RNAcentral. Lineage: Bacteria; Candidatus Woeseibacteriota.
GGGGAUGUACUGCUUUGACGGGAUAUGCUCAUUACUAUCUGCAGAUCGUCUUUGACUAAGAAAGACGCUAAACAGAGUCACAACAUAAUUGCAAAACAAACUGCAAAAAGCAUUCUCUUAGACACUAGCGAUGCAAUCGCAUCUGCUUUCCGUCCAAGCUAUGCUCCAGCUUUAGCUGCAUAAGCUAACUGGCAUGUAUUCUUUUCAUCUCACUGGUGUGAGGGAAUAUGUGUCUAAUCCAGCCAGUGUGACAGGUAGUUCUCGUUCGUUGGAACUGCUCUAAGUAUUUUUUGACGAAGGUUGUAGUGUGAAGGUUUGUCGAUACACCCUCCACUGCAGUAACAAAAAUUGACUAUUUCUGUAGAUGAUAUUGGUGUAGCUGUUUCGGACGCGAGGUCACUCCUCGCCAUCUCCACAA